Archocentrus centrarchus (flier cichlid) is the source of this 712-nucleotide non-coding RNA. NCBI's taxonomy places the organism in Eukaryota, Metazoa, Chordata, Actinopteri, Cichliformes, Cichlidae. The record is from the annotation of a RefSeq genome assembly.
AUGAUCCUGACCUUUGAUACAGCAACAGGCCAGCGUCCAGAUGAGGAUGGUAUAUAUUUUAGUCAUUUAUUAGAAAAAUCAGAGUUGUUUUCAGUUCUUAGUUUCUUGUUCAGGGUGCAGGAGGUUUUUGUACGGCCACUUAAUGAGUUUGUAUCACUGUGGUACACUUUUGGUGGAGGAACCAAAGUCAUCGUUGACUUGGGUGUGGUACGGCCCACUCUGACUGUCCUCCCUCCCUCCAAAGAGGAGGAGAAGCAGAACAGUGCCACUGUGGUGUGUCUGGCCAGUGGGGGCUUCCCCUCAAAUUGGAAUCUGGGCUGGAAGGUGGGGGGCACCAGCACAUCCUCAGGGGUGUCAAACAGCCCUGAAGUCCUGGGGACAAACGGUCACUACAGCUGGAGCAGCACCCUGAGCCUCUCUGCAGACCAGUGGAGGAAGGCGGGCUCAGUGACCUGUGAGGCCAGUCUGAGUGGACAGAGCCCUGUCACUCAAACCCUGAACCCUGACCGCUGCUCAGAGUAGAGCCUCAGCAACACUUCCUGUCUGCAAAUGUGUUUUAUAGUUUGAUGAAGCCACACAUUUCCUCUGUUCUCAUAUUCUUGCAAACAUUUGACUCUUUUCAUGUGCAUGCAGAUUUCAUCAGCUAAUCUUUUCCACCUGUGCUUUAAAACCAUGCUGUAAAAAAGUCAACAUCACAAAAUAAAAUCACAGC